UGGGGAAUAUUGCGCAAUGGUCGAAAGACUGACGCAGCGACGCCGCGUGUGGGAGGAAGCCCUUCGGGGUGUAAACCACUGUCGGGGGGGACGAAUCCCGGACGGGCAAAUAGCCCGAACGGUUGACGGUACCCCCAAAGGAAGCACCGGCUAACCCUGUGCCAGCAGCCGCGGUAAUACAGGGGGUGCAAGCGUUGUUCGGAAUUACUGGGCGUAAAGCGCGGGCAGGUGGCCUUUUAAGUCCUUUGUGAAAUCCCGGAGCUCAACUCCGGAUGUGCAUAGGAUACUGGAGGGCUUGAGACUGGUAGAGGCGAGCGGAAUUCCUGGUGUAGCGGUGGAAUGCGUAGAUAUCAGGAAGAACACCGGUGGCGAAGGCGGCUCGCUGGGCCAGAUCUGACACUCAGCCGCGAAAGCGUGGGGAGCAAACAG
This 429-nucleotide ribosomal RNA is filed under the name uncultured bacterium. Its description in RNAcentral is "bacterial SSU rRNA". It matches the Rfam family "Bacterial small subunit ribosomal RNA", at positions 355 to 775 of the family's 1533-position model. The record is from RNAcentral.